GGCUCUGUGGCGCAAUGGAUAGCGCAUUGGACUUCUAGAUGAUAAGAUGGAGCAAUUCAAAGGUUGUGGGUUCGAGUCCCACCAGAGUCG
Molecule: transfer RNA, 90 nt
Organism: Astyanax mexicanus (Mexican tetra)
Lineage: Eukaryota; Metazoa; Chordata; Actinopteri; Characiformes; Acestrorhamphidae
Rfam family: tRNA
About the family: Transfer RNA (tRNA) molecules are approximately 80 nucleotides in length. Their secondary structure includes four short double-helical elements and three loops (D, anti-codon, and T loops).
Source: Rfam